RNAcentral lists this ribosomal RNA (503 nucleotides) under uncultured bacterium. Its description in RNAcentral is "partial 16S ribosomal RNA". It matches the Rfam family "Bacterial small subunit ribosomal RNA", at positions 30 to 523 of the family's 1533-position model. The record is from RNAcentral.
AUUGAACGCUGGCGGCAGGCCUAACACAUGCAAGUCGAGCGGGGUGAUGGUGCUUGCACUAUCACCUAGCGGCGGACGGGUGAGUAAUGCUUAGGAAUCUGCCUAUUAGUGGGGGACAACAUCUCGAAAGGGGUGCUAAUACCGCAUACGUCCUACGGGAGAAAGCAGGGGAUCACUUGUGACCUUGCGCUAAUAGAUGAGCCUAAGUCGGAUUAGCUAGUUGGUGGGGUAAAGGCCUACCAAGGCGACGAUCUGUAGCGGGUCUGAGAGGAUGAUCCGCCACACUGGGACUGAGACACGGCCCAGACUCCUACGGGAGGCAGCAGUGGGGAAUAUUGGACAAUGGGGGGAACCCUGAUCCAGCCAUGCCGCGUGUGUGAAGAAGGCCUUAUGGUUGUAAAGCACUUUAAGCGAGGAGGAGGCUCUUUUGGCUAAUACCCAAGAUGAGUGGACGUUACUCGCAGAAUAAGCACCGGCUAACUCUGUGCCAGCAGCCGCCGUAA